AUUGAACGCUGGCGGCAGGCCUAACACAUGCAAGUCGAGCGGAUGAAGGGAGCUUGCUCCUGGAUUCAGCGGCGGACGGGUGAGUAAUGCCUAGGAAUCUGCCUGGUAGUGGGGGAUAACGUCCGGAAACGGGCGCUAAUACCGCAUACGUCCUGAGGGAGAAAGUGGGGGAUCUUCGGACCUCACGCUAUCAGAUGAGCCUAGGUCGGAUUAGCUAGUUGGUGGGGUAAAGGCCUACCAAGGCGACGAUCCGUAACUGGUCUGAGAGGAUGAUCAGUCACACCGGAACUGAGACACGGUCCAGACUCCUACGGGAGGCAGCAGCGGGGAAUAUUGGACAAAGGGCGAAAGCCUGAUCCAGCCAUGCCGCGUGUGUGAAGAAGGUCUUCGGAUUGUAAAGCACUUUAAGUUGGGAGGAAGGGCAGUAAGUUAAUACCUUGCUGUUUUGACGUUACCAACAGAAUAAGCACCGGCUAACUUCGUG
This 484-nucleotide ribosomal RNA is filed under the name uncultured bacterium. RNAcentral describes it as "partial 16S ribosomal RNA". It matches the Rfam family "Bacterial small subunit ribosomal RNA", at positions 30 to 507 of the family's 1533-position model. The record is from RNAcentral.